GAGCCAUCCAAUUUAUGUUUAUCUGAAUGUGUUCUGCAGAAAUUUAGAAAAAGCUAGCAAUAUUGAUGCCAUGUUACAAGCCAUAAGGACAACAGAUAAUUAUGGUCCCUGAAAAGUUAGUAAUUGCA
Molecule: small nucleolar RNA, 128 nt
Filed under: Jaculus jaculus (lesser Egyptian jerboa)
Lineage: Eukaryota; Metazoa; Chordata; Mammalia; Rodentia; Dipodidae
Description: Small nucleolar RNA SNORA33 (ENSJJAG00000010015.1)
Source: RNAcentral